Molecule: ribosomal RNA, 253 nt
Filed under: uncultured bacterium
Lineage: Bacteria
Description: partial 16S ribosomal RNA
Rfam family: Bacterial small subunit ribosomal RNA
Source: RNAcentral
UACGUAGGGCGCAAGCGUUGUCCGGAAUUAUUGGGCGUAAAGAGCUCGUAGGCGGUUUGUCGCGUCUGCUGUGAAAACUCGAGGCUCAACCUCGGGCUUGCAGUGGGUACGGGCAGACUAGAGUGCGGUAGGGGUGACUGGAAUUCCUGGUGUAGCGGUGGAAUGCGCAGAUAUCAGGAGGAACACCGAUGGCGAAGGCAGGUCACUGGGCCGCAACUGACGCUGAGGCGCGAAAGCCAGGGGAGCAAACGGG